RNAcentral lists this RNase P RNA (334 nucleotides) under Cytophagales bacterium CG12_big_fil_rev_8_21_14_0_65_40_12. RNAcentral's name for it is "RNase P RNA component class A". It matches the Rfam family "Bacterial RNase P class A". Rfam says of the family: Ribonuclease P (RNase P) is a ubiquitous endoribonuclease, found in archaea, bacteria and eukarya as well as chloroplasts and mitochondria. Its best characterised activity is the generation of mature 5'-ends of tRNAs by cleaving the 5'-leader elements of precursor-tRNAs. Cellular RNase Ps are ribonucleoproteins. Lineage: Bacteria; Pseudomonadati; Bacteroidota; Cytophagia; Cytophagales. The record is from RNAcentral. RNAcentral also lists the same sequence under 1 other name.
GAUACAAGCCAUCUUAUCGCUGCGACUAGAGCAAUCAAAAUCGGAGAGGAAAGUCCGGGCACCAUAGGGAAGCAUAGCGGCUAACGGCCGUCAUCCACCGAAGCUUUAGCGAAGGUGGAGAGGACAAGUGCAACAGAAAGGAUGUACAGGUAAUGCUGUAGUGAAAUCAGGUAAACUCUAUGCGGUGAAAUGCCACAUAUACCUGCGUUUGAGGGUUCCCGCCCGAUGCAGGAGGGUAGGCAGAUUGAUCCCGCCAGUAAUGUCGGGACUAGAUAAAUGAUAAGAGCCCCGACCUGUCGGGGAACAGAACCCGGCUUAUCGGCUUGUAUCUUUU